RNAcentral lists this microRNA precursor (72 nucleotides) under Podarcis lilfordi (Lilford's wall lizard). The record is from RNAcentral. Lineage: Eukaryota; Metazoa; Chordata; Lepidosauria; Squamata; Lacertidae.
UGGGUGUGUGGGUGUGUGCAUAUGUGUGUGCGUGCGCGCGCGCACACACACACACACACACACACACAGUUA